AACGCUGGCGGCAGGCCUAACACAUGCAAGUCGAACGGUAGCACAGAGAGCUUGCUCUCGGGUGACGAGUGGCGGACGGGUGAGUAAUGUCUGGGAAACUGCCUGAUGGAGGGGGAUAACUACUGGAAACGGUAGCUAAUACCGCAUAACGUCGCAAGACCAAAGAGGGGGACCUUCGGGCCUCUUGCCAUCAGAUGUGCCCAGAUGGGAUUAGCUAGUAGGUGGGGUAACGGCUCACCUAGGCGACGAUCCCUAGCUGGUCUGAGAGGAUGACCAGCCACACUGGAACUGAGACACGGUCCAGACUCCUACGGGAGGCAGCAGUGGGGAAUAUUGCACAAUGGGCGCAAGCCUGAUGCAGCCAUGCCGCGUGUAUGAAGAAGGCCUUCGGGUUGUAAAGUACUUUCAGCGGGGAGGAAGGCGGUGAGGUUAAUAACCUCAUCGAUUGACGUUACCCGCAGAAGAAGCACCGGCUAACUCCGUGCCAGCAGCCGCGGUAAUACGGAGGGUGCAAGCGUUAAUCGGAAUUACUGGGCGUAAAGCGCACGCAGGCGGUCUGUCAAGUCGGAUGUGAAAUCCCCGGGCUCAACCUGGGAACUGCAUUCGAAACUGGCAGGCUAGAGUCUUGUAGAGGGGGGUAGAAUUCCAGGUGUAGCGGUGAAAUGCGUAGAGAUCUGGAGGAAUACCGGUGGCGAAGGCGGCCCCCUGGACAAAGACUGACGCUCAGGUGCGAAAGCGUGGGGAGCAAACAGGAUUAGAUACGCUGGUAGUCCACGCCGUAAACGAUGUCGACUUGGAGGUUGUGCCCUUGAGGCGUGGCUUCCGGAGCUAACGCGUUAAGUCGACCGCCUGGGGAGUACGGCCGCAAGGUUAAAACUCAAAUGAAUUGACGGGGGCCCGCACAAGCGGUGGAGCAUGUGGUUUAAUUCGAUGCAACGCGAAGAACCUUACCUACUCUUGACAUCCAGAGAACUUAGCAGAGAUGCUUUGGUGCCUUCGGGAACUCUGAGACAGGUGCUGCAUGGCUGUCGUCAGCUCGUGUUGUGAAAUGUUGGGUUAAGUCCCGCAACGAGCGCAACCCUUAUCCUUUGUUGCCAGCGGUUAGGCCGGGAACUCAAAGGAGACUGCCAGUGAUAAACUGGAGGAAGGUGGGGAUGACGUCAAGUCAUCAUGGCCCUUACGAGUAGGGCUACACACGUGCUACAAUGGCGCAUACAAAGAGAAGCGACCUCGCGAGAGCAAGCGGACCUCAUAAAGUGCGUCGUAGUCCGGAUUGGAGUCUGCAACUCGACUCCAUGAAGUCGGAAUCGCUAGUAAUCGUGGAUCAGAAUGCCACGGUGAAUACGUUCCCGGGCCUUGUACACACCGCCCGUCACACCAUGGGAGUGGGUUGCAAAAGAAGUAGGUAGCUUAACCUUCGGGAGGGCGCUUACCACUUUGUGAUUCAUGACUGGGGUGAAGUCGUAACAAGUAGCCGGUAGGGGAACCUGCGGCUGG
This 1497-nucleotide ribosomal RNA is filed under the name Enterobacter sp. d8(2011). Its description in RNAcentral is "bacterial SSU rRNA". It matches the Rfam family "Bacterial small subunit ribosomal RNA". The record is from RNAcentral. Lineage: Bacteria; Pseudomonadati; Pseudomonadota; Gammaproteobacteria; Enterobacterales; Enterobacteriaceae.